This 446-nucleotide ribosomal RNA is filed under the name uncultured bacterium. Its description in RNAcentral is "partial 16S ribosomal RNA". It matches the Rfam family "Bacterial small subunit ribosomal RNA", at positions 338 to 795 of the family's 1533-position model. The record is from RNAcentral.
CCUACGGGGGGCAGCAGUCGAGAAUCAUUCACAAUGGGGGAAACCCUGAUGCUGCGACGCCGCGUGGGGGAAUGAAGUUCUUCGGUUUGUAAACCCCUGUCAUGUGGGAGCAAAUUAAAAAGUUAGUACCACAAGAGGAAGAGACGGCUAACUCUGUGCCAGCAGCCGCGGUAAUACGGAGGUCUCAAGCGUUGUUCGGAAUCACUGGGCGUAAAGCGUGCGUAGGCUGUUUCGUAAGUCGUGUGUGAAAGGCGCGGGCUCAACCCGCGAACGGCACAUGAUACUGCGAGACUAGAGUAAUGGAGGGGGAAGCGGAAUUCUUGGUGUAGCAGUGAAAUGCGUAGAUAUCGAGAGGAACACUCGUGGCGAAGGCGGGUUCCUGGACAUUAACUGACGCUGAGGCACGAAGGCCAGGGGAGCGAAAGGGAUUAGAUACCCCUGUAGUC